This 82-nucleotide small nuclear RNA is filed under the name Phascolarctos cinereus (koala). RNAcentral describes it as "U4 spliceosomal RNA (ENSPCIG00000021147.2)". It matches the Rfam family "U4 spliceosomal RNA", at positions 1 to 80 of the family's 138-position model. Rfam says of the family: U4 small nuclear RNA (U4 snRNA) is a component of the major U2-dependent spliceosome. The structure of U4 snRNA from yeast and human has been reported. The record is from Rfam by way of RNAcentral. Lineage: Eukaryota; Metazoa; Chordata; Mammalia; Diprotodontia; Phascolarctidae.
AGCUUCGUACAGUGGCAGUAUUGUAGCCAGUGAGGUUUAUCCGAGGCAUGAUUAUUAUUAAUUGAAAACUUAAAUGAUAAUA